Leptopilina boulardi is the source of this 919-nucleotide long non-coding RNA. RefSeq lists it as uncharacterized. The record is from RefSeq and is a predicted model, not a curated record. The transcript is spliced from 3 exons. Lineage: Eukaryota; Metazoa; Arthropoda; Insecta; Hymenoptera; Figitidae.
UCUUUAUCAGGUAAUUAAAAAUCGAAAAGAUAUAUACAUUCCUGGUAUAUAGUGAAAUUCGUAAUAUUUAGUUAUAAUCAAAAUUUUUAAAAUGAAACUUCAAAAAAUAAGUUAUAUUCUUGUUUUUUUAAUUAUUUUCACAUCAAUUUUAAUUAGUGAACUAAAAGGAAAUGAAGAGAUUCACAAAAAUAUUGAGAAGGAAAAAAAUAAUAUUGAUAAAAUAAAAAAUUUAACCGCCGAAUACGCAUACAAUGUAACAAUAAAAAAUGUUGCUUUUAUCAAAAUUUUUCAUUCCAAUGUUUUGUGUGGUGCAUUUAAUAAAAUUUCACUAAUCACAAAACUUUUUCAAUCACUUGGAAAGCAUAUUUCCACAUCGUUAAUGGUGAAUAAUUAUUUUAAAAAUACAUUCGAGGCAACGUCUUUGUCGGAAGCUGAAUAUUAUUUGGAAAAUGUGAAAGAAGAAUUUUUUGAUUUUAUCACUACCACAGAGAAUGAAAAUUUUACCAAUUGCAAGGAAAAUAAUAAUAAUCAAGAUGAAAUUAUUAUCCAUCAACAAAACUGUGAUAUUAAUGUGAAAUUUUCUCAUUUAUUAGUAAAUUGUUUUUUAAAAAUUAAUUCUAUUAUUUGUGAAUUAAAAAAAAAUUUGUCAAUUAAUGAAAAUAAUUUACAUAUUGAAAGUUUAUUAAUGGCAAUCAAUUCACGUUUUAUGAAUGAAUUAUAUAAUUCUUUGCAAAUUAUUUAUGAAAAAAAUUUUCAAAUCACUGAAAAUGAUUUGAAUUUAUUUAAAUUUAUUGAAAAAAAUUUGCAAUAUUUGGAAAAUGUUUUGACACAGAAAGAAAACCUAUCUGAGAAUAAAAAUAAUUUUCAAAAUGAAAAUUUCUCAUUUUCACCAAAAUUUUUAGUAUCCAACGAAAAAGAG